AUAAUUCAAUUGUGACAGUUAAAUGAUAAUCCAUACCCUACAAUGAGAUAUAUAGCUUAAUAAAUUUUACAGUGCAAUAAAAUAAACACUAAUGUGAUUGUCUAAAAGCUAAUUAACUAAUCAUUGAUAACACGGAAGAAAAUAAAUUGAUUAUUCGAGUGCAUAGACUGUUUUUCUUUAUAUUCAGCAGUGGUCGGAUUUCAAUGGCCAUAACUGUAUAUAUAUAUAAACAUAUAAUAAUUUUUUGAGACCCUAUUUAAUGUCUUUUGAAUGUGAUUAGUCAAAAAAUUUAAUACAUUUAAUUUAGAUGUUGUUUUGAAAGUUCAUAAAGGUGUGUCGUUGGUCCAAAUAAAUGUUGCGAUUUCGGAACAAUUAAAGAGACUCAAUCAAAGAAAUCGAAAUUCUAAGUCUACAACAGCUGAAGAAACUACACCUGAAAUUCUAGAGUUUGAUUAAAAACCAAUUAUUUUAUUAAUUUUAAAAUAAAUUGUUAAAAUAUAAAGUCUUUUUUAUUGUUGAGAAGACUUAUAGGUUUGAAAGAUCCUGCUUACACACUUUGGUUAGCACUAUGACAUGUUACUUAUUUAGGGAUAGGCGAGGGCUUCAGUACAUACACUGACUGAUUUAGGGAGAACUCGCAAAAAAAUACAGCAAAUGCUGGAAGCUAGAACAGGAAGUUAUAAAUCAGCAUCUUGAGGGUAAAAUGAAAAUCAACAACUAGUAGCACUUCUUUGAAUUGUCUUUAAAUUAGAGUAAUGUUAAUUUUGAUUGAUAUGGAGAUAGAUGCAUACAAUGGAAAACGAACUGCUGUUAUGCGAGUUUUUAUAAAUUUUAGUCUUUCUGAGGGCCUAAUUAAAAAAAAGAUACUCAACUUGGUUUGUUUGGAACAAUUUUGGUUAUAUGGUAUUAAAACUUAAAAAAUUAGUUUAAUGAAUAAACAGCUUUAAAAAUAAUCUUUUACUACAAAUAAUGAACAGACACUAAACAAAGUUAUAUACUUAAUUGUAGGUAGUAUUUUCAGCUGUACAUAGUAUGUUUUUGUAAUUUUUCUUUAUAUCUAGAUUUUUGGAAGAUGUUAAACAACAAGAUGUAAUUCGAGAUAUUGUUUCUAAAAUUCUUAAAGACGUGUUAUUCGUUCAAGUAAACGAUGCUGUUAAAGCAGGUUGUCUGAGCAGUUAAAGAAACUUAAUCAAAUGAUUCAAAAUUCUCUUCUUUAGGCAGUCGAAGCAACGAUACUCGAAAUGCCUGGAAUGGAUAAUUAACCAAGUAAUAAAUAAACUUUGAAAUAAAGUUUAAA
Molecule: non-coding RNA, 1297 nt
Organism: Hydra vulgaris (swiftwater hydra)
Lineage: Eukaryota; Metazoa; Cnidaria; Hydrozoa; Anthoathecata; Hydridae
Source: RefSeq, a predicted model, not a curated record